UACGAGGGGGGCAAUUGUUGUUCGGAAUCACUGGGCGUAAAGGGAGCGUAGGCGGGUUCUUAAGUAAGGUGUUUAAUCCCGGGGCCCAACCCCGGACCGGCACUUUAAACUGGGAAUCUUGAAUAGUGGAGAGGUCAGUGGAAUUGGGGGUGUAGCGGUGGAAUGCGUAGAGAUCCCCAAGAACACCAGUUGCGAAGGCGGCUGACUGGACACAUAUUGACGCUGAGGUGCGAAAGCGUGGGGAGCAAACAGG
This 253-nucleotide ribosomal RNA is filed under the name uncultured bacterium. Its description in RNAcentral is "partial 16S ribosomal RNA". It matches the Rfam family "Bacterial small subunit ribosomal RNA", at positions 524 to 776 of the family's 1533-position model. The record is from RNAcentral.